RNAcentral lists this ribosomal RNA (449 nucleotides) under uncultured bacterium. RNAcentral describes it as "partial 16S ribosomal RNA". It matches the Rfam family "Bacterial small subunit ribosomal RNA", at positions 29 to 523 of the family's 1533-position model. The record is from RNAcentral.
AACGAACGCUGGCGGCAUGCCUAACACAUGCAAGUCGAACGAGAGCUUCGGCUCUAGUGGCGCACGGGUGCGUAACGCGUGGGAAUCCGCCCUUGGGUUCGGAAUAACAGUUGGAAACGACUGAUAAUACCGGAUGAUGACGUAAGUCCAAAGAUUUAUCGCCCUGGGAUGAGCCCGCGUCGGAUUAGCUAGUUGGUGGGGUAAAGGCCUACCAAGGCGACGAUCCGUAGCUGGUCUGAGAGGAUGAUCAGCCACACUGGGACUGAGACACGGCCCAGACUCCUACGGGAGGCAGCAGUGGGGAAUAUUGGACAAUGGGCGCAAGCCUGAUCCAGCAAUGCCGCGUGAGUGAUGAAGGCCUUAGGGUUGUAAAGCUCUUUUACCUGGGAAGAUAAUGACUGUACCGGGAGAAUAAGCCCCGGCUAACUCCGUGCCAGCAGCCGCAGUAA